This is a non-coding RNA of Ictidomys tridecemlineatus (thirteen-lined ground squirrel), 365 nucleotides long. Lineage: Eukaryota; Metazoa; Chordata; Mammalia; Rodentia; Sciuridae. The record is from RefSeq and is a predicted model, not a curated record.
CAUGUGUCACAUUUCCCCCAGCAAUGAGAUUAUCCCUGUGCUGCUUGAAUAUAUGAGAAGACCAAACUAGACUCACUUUUUCAGAAAAAAAGAGCAGCAUGGAACCUCUCCAGGUUCCAUUUGUUUUUUUGUCUCUGUCCCCAAAGAUCUUGCACAUUUAAUAUGCAGUGGAAUCUUAGAUCUCCUCUGAGAAGACCAUGAGAUGUGGGAAGCAGAUUGUCAGGUAAUCAAGAAAAAUGUCAUCUAUUGUCUUCUUAGGCAUUUCGUGAUAUGACUGGAAGCUAGAAAUGAAGAGUUCUAAUUCAUAUGGAGUUCUGUCCAUCCACUGUGAGCUGCAUAUUUAAAAUAAAGUUUGGAGGAAUUGA